RNAcentral lists this ribosomal RNA (516 nucleotides) under uncultured bacterium. Its description in RNAcentral is "bacterial SSU rRNA". It matches the Rfam family "Bacterial small subunit ribosomal RNA", at positions 35 to 518 of the family's 1533-position model. The record is from RNAcentral.
AACGGCUGGCGGCGUGCCUAAUACAUGCAAGUCGAACGGUCUUUCUAUGGAAGCUUGCUUCCACUGAAAAGAUAGUGGCGAACGGGUGAGUAACAACGUGGGUAACCUGCCCAUAAGAGGGGGAGUAACAUCCGGAAACGGGUGCUAAUACCGCAUAGUUUUCUUGAUCGCAUGAUCGGGAAAGGAAAGACGGCCUUUGUGCUGUCGCUUAUGGAUGGACCCGCGGCGUAUUAGUUAGUUGGUGAGGUAACGGCUCACCAAGACGAUGAUACGUAGCCGACCUGAGAGGGUGAUCGGCCACAUUGGGACUGAGACACGGCCCAAACUCCUACGGGAGGCAGCAGUAGGGAAUCUUCCGCAAUGGACGAAAGUCUGACGGAGCAACGCCGCGUGAGUGAAAGAAGGUUUUCGGAUCGUAAAACUCUGUUGUCAGAGAAGAACAAGUUGGAGAGUAACUGCUCCAGCCUUGACGGUAUCUGACCAGAAAGCCACGGCUAACUACGUGCCAGCCGCCGC